Molecule: non-coding RNA, 627 nt
Organism: Pelobates cultripes (western spadefoot toad)
Lineage: Eukaryota; Metazoa; Chordata; Amphibia; Anura; Pelobatidae
Source: the annotation of a GenBank genome assembly
UGGCUUUAACGACUUUUAUUACAUUUUUCUUGUCAUUUUACAGGAAGGCCAGACCAAUAAAUUGCUUUUGACAAACUUCUAAAAACACUGUUUGUACAGACACCACCCUUAGAUAUACAUAUCAGAAAUAAAUAACCCGAUAUAAACCUACUAACAAUUACAAAUGCUGAUAUAACUAAAAAUCACAAAUCAAUGUGAUAAGUAUACAAGUAUAAAAAGUUAUCAAGUAAAUGUGGCUCAAAAAGUUAUUUAUCAACAUAUAUGCAGAAAGAACAUUGUAAUGUAUAUUAACAACCAACAUUGUUUUAGUUUUUUUACAAAACAUACAUACAUUAUUACAUUUGAAAAUUGUUCAGCUUAUGCAUAGAACUGAAUUUACUUGUUUAUAAAUUUUUGUUAAAAAACACAUUUUAUAUAACUCAUGGAAUUUUAUAACAUGACAGGAGGCUUCCUAUUUUGCAUUAACUCUCUUUACUAAACUCCACAGCAGUAAAGAAAAACGUAAAGAGUAACAUUAAAUCACUGAGCAGCAUAGUAUAUAUAAGGGUCAUGCUGCCUGUACACUUCCUCUUUCUUUACUGCUCCACGCAGACAGGUCAGACUAUUUGGCUCCUCCAGAGCCUUUUC